AGAGUUUGAUCAUGGCUCAGAUUGAACGCUGGCGGAAUGCUUUACACAUGCAAGUCGAGCGGCAGCGCGGGGGCAACCCUGGCGGCGAGCGGCGAACGGGUGAGUAACAUAUCGGAACGUACCCCGUCUGGGGGGAUAACACAGCGAAAGCUGUGCUAAUACCGCACGCGACCUGAGGGUGAAAAGCGGGGGGACCGUAAGGCCUCGCGCGAUGGGAGCGGCCGAUAUCGGAUUAGCUUGUUGGUGAGGUAAAGGCUCACCAAGGCGACGAUCCGUAGCUGGUCUGAGAGGACGACCAGCCACACUGGAACUGAGACACGGUCCAGACUCCUACGGGAGGCAGCAGUGGGGAAUUUUGGACAAUGGGGGCAAGCCUGAUCCAGCCAUGCCGCGUGAGUGAAGAAGGCCUUCGGGUUGUAAAGCUCUUUCGGUGGGGAAGAAAUUGCACGGGUUAAUACCCUGUGUAGAUGACGGUACCCGACUAAGAAGCACCGGCUAACUACGUG
This 506-nucleotide ribosomal RNA is filed under the name uncultured bacterium. RNAcentral's name for it is "bacterial SSU rRNA". It matches the Rfam family "Bacterial small subunit ribosomal RNA", at positions 8 to 507 of the family's 1533-position model. The record is from RNAcentral.